AAAACACCGUGCCUGAGAGUUAACUCAGGCAGCUCCUCGUACAGCAGGCCAGGAGAGCCAAUACACUGCACUCUCCACACUGCAUCCAGGUAAGCAGAAGACACUAUUGCUUUGAGGACCCAUUUCCACCAGGAAGAAGCAUUUGAGAAGGGCAUGGGAGGGUGUGACCUGGGGAGAGGCGUGUGUGAGGAGGAGCAUGGCCUAAGAAGAGUCCCAGGGGUCUGGCAGAGAGACCUGAGGGGUUACAUGCAGGCCCCAGGACUGAGGUUCCUCAUCCCUGAAAAAGAGGGACAAGAACGUAUCCUUUUCACUGCACUUUGCAAAAUUCUGUAAUCUAAACCCUGAGAGAAGCAACGAGAGCACGAGAUUGCUUGUUAAUAUUUUAGAACCUGAACCUGAACGGCUGUGUCAGAUACAAAAAUCACUUUCAGCUGUCAAAAUAUCCCAUGCAAUUUCCCAGAGCAUAAAAGCAGAAGGUCUGUCAGAUGUGAAAGGUGGUAAGAAAGGCUGUGGUAUUUACUCCUACCUUGUCAAAUAAAUUCUGCACCAUAGUUGAAUUCCGUAUGUGCAGCACCCUGGAAUCUUGGAUAAAACACCAAAUAAUACUGGCCAGAUAUUGCAGCAUUAACCACCAUCACAGUGACUCUUGCAGCUCCUGAGCCGAAUGGGAGUGUGGGAGUCUUUGUAUAUUACCCAGUCCUAUGAUUUGAGUCCAUGUGGUGUAGUGGUUAAUGUUGGACUAAGACCUGUGAGACCAGGGUUCAAAUUCCCAUACAGCCAUGAAGGUCACUGUGUCACCUUGGGCCUAACUUAACACUCAGUCUUGUUGUGAAAAUAAAAUAGCGAGGGGGGAAACAUACAUGCAUGCCACCUUGAACUCCUUUGGGGGGGGGGGAAGAUAUCAUAUAAAUCAAAUAAAUAAUGUCUGAAGAGGACUUUCUUCAAUAGAGAUACACACUGUCCAUUCUCACAGCUGUGGUCCAACUCAGAUGCAGAUUACAAGGUGUUAUUUAAAGGUCGAAAAAGAAAUAAUAUAAUGUACAGUUUAGGGUGCAAACCUGUGGUCCUUGGAAGGUGACCCAGGAGGCAUAGGAUAGUGGGGGUCUCCCUUCCCACAGAGACAAGAUGUGUCUUUGGAAGCCUUUUUGGUAUAACUGCUGUCCCUUCACCAUCAGUGCUCCAAUGGUUGUAAGGAGAUAAAAUGAGUGUGAGCGGGGUGUGUCCCACCUCCUGUCCUGGUCAGCGCAUGACUGGCAUGGCUCUGGAGCUGGUGUUUCUUCCAGCCUGGAUUCUCCAGUUGGGUUGCUCUGUCCAUUAUUACAACCAGGAGGGGCGCCAUUUAAAUCAUUUGCCAUCGGCACAGAAAUGCCUUGGGCCAUCUCUGGGUGUUUGUGCCCUAGCUCUCUGCUUGUUCCAUGUAUAUUCAAUAGCAUACGAGGUUUGUGUUAAGUGAAGUCUGACCACAGGAACAAAUUACCUUGCCUUUAAGGCUAAUUUAAGCCUGAGGGAACUGGUUGUUUAGCAGGGAGUUGAAUGCACAUGUGGCUUCUCAAUCAAUAAUUAUGACUUCCAACAAUUUCUGGAAUCUCCACAGGACUAUCAGCAUUCCAGAGCAGAGGUGAAGGCAGGGACGAAUUCCUUCCUCUCCGUUUUUUUUCCUCCAGCACCCCAUGGAAAAAUUCUUUCAGAAGAAUGCCUUGCUCUUCACAGGUGCUUUAUGGCUGAUAUUUCAUAGGAAAGAAGCAAUCAGGUAGCAUGCAGAGUUCUACUUGAGCGUGAAUAAUAUACCACAUCCUCUGUUGCCAGAAGCAUGAGGGUUUCCUGUUGAUUUUAGUAAGAGGUGAAUUUUACUUGCUUUCACAUCUUCAUUGUAAGCUGAAGGUGAGGAAGUUUUGAGAAAACCUGCUCAAAAAGCCAGCUUAUGGAAACAGAAUCUACGAUUACAACCCAGAGCUUUAGAUCAUCCUCUGUUUGGUAUCACAUCACUAAGGUGAAGAAGCGAACAAUAUUUUUUUAAAAGGAAAAUCAUUACCAUUUGGGGGCUUACAAGAAAUUGUGUGAAGAUGGAGGAUAAAUGAUGGGAAAAUUAAUGUAAUACCCUGAGACUCCUGAGUUCCAGGUCUGUUAUUUAUUGUUUACUUAUUUGCUUUAUUUAUAUCCUGCUUUUCCUCCAACAAGCUCAAGGCAGCAUACAUAGUUCUCCAUCGUAGGUUAGAGUUAAGGUUGGCGACUGGUGAAUUUUAUGACUGAGUGUAUAUUUGAGCAUAGAUCUCCCCAGGUCUCGUCUGGCACUCUAAUUAGGAGUUGCCAACAUUUUUGAAUCUGUGGGCAUAUUUCAUAUUUUUCAUCAAUCACAAAAUGUCUGCAGUAGGGGUGUGGCCUGUCCAUACAUCAUUCUGCUUUGUUCUGGGAUGCUUCUCUAACAAUACUGCAUUAUUGCCCGCUGGAGGGGCACUCUUGGACUAUAGUGCAACAAAAGUGGGACACACACACACACACACACACACACACACACACACAAAGCACAGGACAUGCACUGAUUAGAAACUUAGCAACACUCUGCAUGAACAGUGUUGAAAGCAAGGUCACAUAUAUACAACCAACCUGAUAACAUUGUGAGCAUAAAUCAUCACAAAUGCAGAAUUAAAAGGAGAUUUCACAUAGAUUCCUGAUCAUCACCAUCUUUCUCUCUGAAGAAGCUUCCCACUGAAGUGACUACCAUGUCCCCACAAAAAUGGUAGGCAUAUCCUUUGACUGCAGAAAAGUGCAAAGCCUGGGCGAGUGCCCACCAGUCAUAUCUUACCUUUAAUCAAGUGCACUUGUGCUCAUUGACGAAGCUUAGAUACUGUGUUUCACUGCCAUAUUUACUCAUAAUACAUAAUCUGGAUUAUUUCUGCUCACUUUAUUGCUCUGUUGAACUUUCUACUUAUAGAAGUUCCUGUUUAAAUAAGGAACAAACAGUCCAGAGCCCAUAUGCUGUAACUUGCUGCAUCUCUCCCUCUCUGCUGCCUAGGUUUUCUGGCUCUUCUCACAGAGGACUGGUUCACGUGUUACACUCAGUGGAGUGUCACCUUUUAAUUUGUGAGGGCUCUCCAUUCACGUGAGUUGUGUAGUAAGAGCUCACAGCUCAUGAGUUUCAGACACAGUAAAGUCUGCGAUUUUGGAUACUAUCUGGAAAUCAUGAAAAAUGACACGGCUGAGACUCAUUCAUCUAUCAACUCACAUAUUACUUUGCUCAUGCAAAUGAAAAAUUCAUGUGCAUAAAAAAGUGUGUGUGUGCACACACACACGCACACAGAGGCACGUUUGGCAAAAGACAGUUGCAACUAAUGCCACAAUGAGACUUGACUUAUUUUGAAGACAAAAACAAUGAAAGGUUUCCCAGGAUGGCAUCUGCACAACACAAUAAAAAACCAAUAAUGUAAACAAUAAUAUUAAGAAGAAAUAGAAAGGACUUAUAAAAUAGCAUAUGGUAAUAUUAAAAUGCCUUAGAAAAUAAAAAAAAGUUUUUUUGCCUGGUGCUAGAAUCACAAAAUAAGUGGGUGCCAAAUAUCUCUCUCUCUUUUGCCAUUCACUAUAACUGUAAUUGCAGGACAGGCGACAGGGAUAAGAAACCUCAGGCCUGGGGGCCCAAUGUGUCAAUCCAGGACUUUCUAUAUGGCCCUCAAGACUCUCCCAAGACCAACCACUCACCCCACCUGUUCUCUGCCCUCAUCAAGUCCCCUUGCCUCUUGCUUGCCUGGAUGUGUUUAUGUACACAAGUUUUUGCUUCUCCCCAGCCCAUGACUGUGUUGUAUGGAGAAGGAAAGAAGCCAAAUUCUGGCCUUACUGCUUGUGGUUUAUGUGGCUUGUUUCUGUUUGUGUCCCCCAACUUUUACAACCAUCAGAAGGUGGGGAGAAGCAAAGCACUAGCGCAUGUUAUUCCCUCGUUAAUUUUAUUCUUAAUGCUACCUGAAAAUGGGGCCAAAGUUGGAGGAAAAUAAAAGAUGGGGGUACUUAGAGAAAGAUGCAUGUAAGCAGAACUUUUAACUAUUUGUCAGCAUAAAAACCCCUAUUUCAGAGAAGUGCUACCCUGAAUAUUUUUCUUAUGAGUCAGCGUUUUAGAUAUAUGGCAUUUUGUUUGCCCAGAAGCUAUAGGAUAUUCCUCUUUGUACCUUGUGAAUUCAAUCACUUCUGGCAGGGAGGGGGUCUUGCGGUGGCUGACUUCCCAAUUUAAAUUCUGUUGGGCCUAUGGAACAGAGAUGGUUCUGUUCAGGAUAGACUCUUUGUUCCCCCUCGAUGAGAAUUUAAAAAUUGUUCCCAGUGGUGAUAUCAUAGCCAUCUACAUUCCCACAGUUGCAACAAUGGAAGUUAUUGAGAGGCAUGACAUUUUCGUUUAAUACUUACAUUGUUACAUACUUUUAUUUUUUUAUAUAUAUAAAAAAGAACCAAAAAAAGUGUUUUGACAAAGAAUGUUAGAAUGAUAGAAAUAUAUUGUUGGAAGAGAUUCCAUGACUAAUCAGUUUUUCAUUAGCACAGCAGCUUUGGGUGGGGGCAAUAGAGUUGCUCUGAAUGUGGACGUAGCUGGUGGCUGUUGUGGGAUGCCUCUGUAUAUAACAAUGAUGUUUCUUCCUGUAAUCCUGAGCACAAGUGGGCCAGAUUCAGAAAAUAAGUAACUAUGGGCAAUGGCCAUGAAGCUAGUGACCAGUGUUCAGGGAUGAUGGAAGCUGCUGUCCAACAAUAUCCAAAAGGCCACAAGUUAUUCAUACCUCCCAUAAAACAUCCCGAAAAUGAUCAGCUAACCAACCAUUCCUUGUAAAAUCUCAAAAUCGAACAAAUUCACAUCCUGCUAAACGUAUUGCAGAAACUCCUACAGAGGCAGGGAAUCUGUCCUUUCAUUCUUCCAGGGAUAGUGCAGUGUAAUUACAAUCAUAAUUACAAUUGUCAGUGUUGUUGUUGUUAUCAAGUCGUGUAUCCACAGCAGUGACGAGAGGAGAAAUGACCUCUGGGAGGAGUGCAGAGAGAAGAAACGCCAUGGUGCAUCUGCAGCAGCACAACUGGAAGCCUUCAUCUGCCCCUGCUGCAAAAACAUGUCUCUCCUGCAUCGGUCUCUACAGCCACAACCGGCGCUGCAACCUUCCAUCAGCUUGACUUCAACCCCAAAGGCGCACUCCUCCAUUGUCUCCCAAGAUAUUAUUAUUAUUAUUAUUAUUAUUAUUAUUAUUAUUAUUAUCCCAAUUGACCAAAACAGAAGACACUUGAGUCAAGAGAAACAUACAGAUUGAUAUACAGAAUAGAGCUCAAUUUUCUCCAUUAUGGAUAUUCUGAAUACUGCCACUUAACAUUCAUUUGGAAGAAGUGCAUCAUUGUGGUUUGUGUUCCUGGCAAAUGAUUCAGAUGAUCUGUUUCUUUCCCUCCAGCCACCGCUCUAAAUGUAGUGCAACCAAAGCUGGUUGGUUUUCUGGGUGUGAUUUUUUUUUAGCUUUCCAUGCUCUGAGUUGCAAUGUGAAUUGCACAUUACACACACCAACACACACAUCAAUAAUGGAUUGUAGAAGAGGACAUCAAGGCAUUUUCUGAAUCUUCUUACCUUUGUUCCUUUAUUGCAUUACUGAUAGAUUCCCUCCUUCUUUUAAAAAAGAUGAUUGAAUGUUUCUUUAAAAAAAAUGCUCUCUCAUUUUAAAUUAAGUUUUAUGAAUUAUCUACAUCACUUAUAAUCUGUCUGUUGCGUGAGCCAGCUAAAACUCAUUAAGCAUAUCCUAACUAUCAUUUUGAACUUAAUGGUUUCAUCAAACGUAUCUGUACCUUCACUCCUAGCAUACUGGACAAUGCCUUUAAGGUUCUGAGGAUUAAUGAAAAUAUCAUUCUUAUCUGAUUGUGCCUAAAUUAAAUCCUCAUUUGAGAGAGGUAGCUGCUUCUAAUGUAUUUCUAGUGGCGUUUGUUGAAAUCCAACAAAACUCUGUAAAGUAAGGAAAUUAAAUAUUAAAAUGGAAUACCC
Molecule: non-coding RNA, 5977 nt
Organism: Podarcis lilfordi (Lilford's wall lizard)
Lineage: Eukaryota; Metazoa; Chordata; Lepidosauria; Squamata; Lacertidae
Source: the annotation of a GenBank genome assembly